GACGUAGGGGGCGAGCGUUGUCCGGAUUUAUUGGGCGUAAAGCGCGCGUAGGCGGCCCGUUAAGUCGGAUGUGGAAACCCGUGGCUCAACCACGGGCCUGCAUCCGAUACUGGCGGGCUCGAGGCAGGCAGGGGAGAUCGGAAUUCCUGGUGUAGCGGUGAAAUGCGCAGAUAUCAGGAGGAACACCGGUGGCGAAGGCGGAUCUCUGGGCCUGUCCUGACGCUCAGGCGCGAAAGCUAGGGGAGCAAACAGG
Molecule: ribosomal RNA, 253 nt
Filed under: uncultured bacterium
Lineage: Bacteria
Description: partial 16S ribosomal RNA
Rfam family: Bacterial small subunit ribosomal RNA
Source: RNAcentral